UCAGACGAUGCGUCAUGCAUAUCAAUAAGCGGAGGAAAAGAAACUAACAAGGAUUCCCUUAGUAACGGCGAGUGAAGCGGGAAGAGCUCAAAUUUGAAAUCUUCAAGGUUUUACCUUGACGAAUUGUAGUUUAAAGAAGUGUUUUCUGCUGAAGUUUUGGUAAAAGUUCCUUGGAAUAGGACAUCAUAGAGGGUGAGAAUCCCGUAUUUGACCAUUAUUUUCAGCUUUGUGAUACACUUUCAAAGAGUCGGAUUGUUUGGGAAUGCAGUCCAAAAUGGGUGGUAAAUUUCAUCCUAAAGCUAAAUAUUGGCGAGGAGACCGAUAGCGAACAAGUACCGUGAGGGAAAGAUGAAAAGAACUUUGAAAAGAGAGGUUAAAUAGUACGUGAAAUUGUCAAAAGGGAAGCGUUUAACACCAGUGUUGUUUUCUGAAAAUCAACCUCUGUUAGCUUUAUGCAUGUUUGUUUAGACCUAAUCAGCUAUCUUGCAUGUUCUAUUGUUUGCAGUGGUGCACUUUUCAGUUUACAGGUCAACAUUAGUUUUUUUUACCGUAAAAAAGUUAAAGAAAGGUAGCUCAUGGCUCCGGUCGUGAGUGUUAUAGUCUUUUUCCUAUGCGGUAGGAGAGACUGAGGUCUGCAGUGUAGGCUAUUUGGCUAGAUACUCAGGUGCUAUGUGAUACCAUUUCAUAAACAACUUGUUGAUUAUGUUUUGUCUAUUGCAUACUCGCUUGUACUAUCAUACCUACGCUUAGGAUGUUGACUGAUAUGUAGUCGUA
This 774-nucleotide ribosomal RNA is filed under the name uncultured Neocallimastigales. RNAcentral's name for it is "partial large subunit ribosomal RNA". It matches the Rfam family "Eukaryotic large subunit ribosomal RNA", at positions 18 to 642 of the family's 3401-position model. The record is from RNAcentral. Lineage: Eukaryota; Fungi; Neocallimastigomycota; Neocallimastigomycetes; Neocallimastigales.